This 870-nucleotide ribosomal RNA is filed under the name uncultured methanogenic archaeon. Its description in RNAcentral is "bacterial SSU rRNA". It matches the Rfam family "Archaeal small subunit ribosomal RNA", at positions 1 to 872 of the family's 1478-position model. The record is from RNAcentral. Lineage: Archaea; Methanobacteriati; Methanobacteriota.
GCCCUUUUCCGGUUGAUCCUGCCGGAGGUUACUGCUAUCGGAGUUCGAUUAAGCCAUGCGAGUCGAGAGGUGUAAGACCUCGGCAUACUGCUCAGUAACACGUGGAUAAUCUAACCUAUGGUGGGGGAUAACCCCGGGAAACUGGGGAUAAUACCCCAUAGACUAUGGAUGCUGGAAUGCUCUGUAGCCGAAAGGUCCGCCGCCAUAGGAUGAGUCUGCGGCCGAUUAGGUUGUUGUUGGGGUAACGGCCCAACAAGCCUGUAAUCGGUACGGGUUGUGGGAGCAAGAGCCCGGAGAUGGAUUCUGAGACACGAAUCCAGGCCCUACGGGGGCGCAGCAGGCGCGAAAACUUUGCAAUGCGAGAAAUCGUGACAAGGGAACUCCGAGUGCCCGUAAAUUCGGGGCUGUCCAUCUGUUUAAAAAACAGGUGAAGAAAGGGCCGGGCAAGACCGGUGCCAGCCGCCGCGGUAAUACCGGCGGCUCGAGUGGUGGCCACUAUUACUGGGCUUAAAGCGUCCGUAGCUGGUCUGUUAAGUCUCUGGGGAAAUCUACCGGCUUAACCGGGAGGCGUUUCAGGGAUACUGGCAGACUAGGGACCGGGAGAGGUGAGAGGUACUCCAGGGGUAGGAGUGAAAUCUUGUAAUCCUUGGGGGACCACCUGUGGCGAAGGCGUCUCACCAGAACGGCUCCGACAGUGAGGGACGAAAGCUGGGGGAGCAAACCGGAUUAGAUACCCGGGUAGUCCCAGCUGUAAACGAUGCGCGUUAGGUGUAUCGGUGACCACGAGUCACCGAGGUGCCGAAGAGAAAUCGUGAAACGUGCCGCCUGGGAAGUACGGUCGCAAGGCUGAAACUUAAAGGAAUUGGCGGG